Long non-coding RNA from Cyprinus carpio carpio, 611 nucleotides. Lineage: Eukaryota; Metazoa; Chordata; Actinopteri; Cypriniformes; Cyprinidae. The record is from Ensembl.
UUUAAGGGGACAUCCUAAAGACUUCUUCACUGCAGUCAAACCUCUCUUCUUGAAGUUCUUGAUGAUCCAGUAAAUGGUUCUUUCAGGUGCAAUAUUCUUUGUAGCAAUUUCCUUGCAUGUGAGGCCAUUUUGAUGCAAAGAGAUGAUGGCUGCACGUGUUUCUUUGGAGAAACUAAGGUCUGUAGUAAUUGACAACAUGCUAUACAUAAAAAAAAGGUCCUAACCAGAUCUAUGAGGUGCAGGAUCUUGGACCAAUGUUGAUUCACUAUGGGCAGAGCUACCCAGUGUGACACCAUGGAAACAGAAGCCAAACACCUGGCAAAAUGUCCUGUCGGCAGUGUUUGUGUCACAGGUCAUUUCCACUGUGACAGGGAAUAUCAGCACGUUUGAAAGUAUUCAAGUCCUCAUCACAAUAUCAGAGAGAACAUGUGGACACUCCACCAAAACCCUCCUGCAUUUUUGAUGACUCAACUUUCUGUCCUCUUCCAGAGAUGAAGUGACUCAUAAGGAGAGAAAUGGCGACCAACAACAAUUCGGCCUCAUUAAGACAACAUGUCUAAUAUUCAGCCCUCCGUAUAUUCAUCAGAUUGGACAGACUGCAUCAACUCGGC